Long non-coding RNA from Glossina fuscipes, 659 nucleotides. RefSeq lists it as uncharacterized. NCBI's taxonomy places the organism in Eukaryota, Metazoa, Arthropoda, Insecta, Diptera, Glossinidae. The record is from RefSeq and is a predicted model, not a curated record. The transcript has 2 exons.
AUAAUAAAUAAAUUGUGUUUUCAUAUCUCCAAGUGCUAUCGGUUAUACGCAUUAUUGACAACAAAAGAGCUCAUAAUUUUGACUAUGUAUGGAUGUGCGAGCAAGCCUGCAGUCUACUGCUAACAGGACAGAAAAUGUAAUACUUAACGCAACGUAAAUACUUAAUGCAACUUAAACACAAUGAUGCCGGCCGAUAAAAUUGUUAUAUUUACAAUGUGGCACACACACCCAUAUUAUGUAUUAAGCUAUGUUAGCAAUGACAAGCUUGUACUAAGAUUUUAAUGCUUCAAAGACAACAUUUUUUUAUUGGUCCUUCAAUCAAGAUAGCUUUGUUAAGAUUUGUGAAAGUUUAGAUCAUUUCAUGCCCGCAAUUAAAGCGUAACCGACGAUAUGACAAUUACACCUCUUCGUCCAGGAAUAGGCAUAAAUUUGAUUACAAUUUGCGUAUUCGGUUUUAAUUAACUUGUGCUAUUUUCGAUUAUUGCAGAGUCAAAGAUGAAUGAAAAAAAUGCUCGUAAUUCAAAACUACAAUAAACAAAUUAAUUUUGGAAAUUAAAUGCGAGAAGGACAACGACGCUCCUAAAAUCGAUGAAAAGUCAGCGUUAACAUAAAGAAAACAAAGGCUUACCUUGCUGAGAGGAGAAUGAUGAUAAGCAAAC